Molecule: ribosomal RNA, 253 nt
Filed under: uncultured bacterium
Lineage: Bacteria
Description: partial 16S ribosomal RNA
Rfam family: Bacterial small subunit ribosomal RNA
Source: RNAcentral
UACGUAGGGGGCAAGCGUUGUCCGGAAUCAUUGGGCGUAAAGAGCGUGUAGGCGGCUUGGCAAGUCUGGUGUGAAAUCUUGCGGCUCAACCGCAAGCGGUCACUGGAAACUGCCUCGCUAGAGUCCGGAAGAGGAGAGCGGAAUUCCUGGUGUAGCGGUGGAAUGCGCAGAUAUCAGGAAGAACACCCGUGGCGAAGGCGGCUUGCUGGGCCUUACCUGACGCUGAGGAGCGAAAGCGUGGGGAGCGAACAGG